UUCCCAUGUUUUUCUUCCAUCUCUCUAACAGCGGAACAUAAACCACAAUCAUAAAUAUGAAAAAGCUGAAUGAACCAAUCGAGAAAUUGAAUUAUAAUUCAUCAAAUACAAGUUACCGAUACCAUUUGAGGUUUAAGAAGAUCAAAAUCAAAACAAGAACCAUCAAAGAAGAAGAAGAAAAGUUGGGGUAAAUUGAUUUUUCCAUAAUCGAUUUACCGUCAUCUUCAACAAUUUCGAUUUGAAGAUUCAAAGAAAGAUUAAAAAAACUUAAAUGAGGAAACCAUCAAAAGCAAAGUUGAAGAAUAAAGUGCAAGAAGAGAAGGAAUCACCAGAAGUUAAGAAAGGUAAAGCACCAAAAGCAAAGACGAAGAAGAAAACGCAAGAAGGGGAGGAAUCCUCGGAAGUU
Long non-coding RNA from Papaver somniferum (opium poppy), 406 nucleotides. RefSeq lists it as uncharacterized. Lineage: Eukaryota; Viridiplantae; Streptophyta; Magnoliopsida; Ranunculales; Papaveraceae. The transcript has 2 exons. The record is from RefSeq and is a predicted model, not a curated record.